AGUGGGGAAUAUUGCACAAUGGGGGAAACCCUGAUGCAGCCAUGCCGCGUGUGUGAAGAAGGCCUUCGGGUUGUAAAGCACUUUCAGUAGGGAGGAAGGUAGUCGUAGUUAACACCUGCAUUAUUUGACGUUACCUACAGAAGAAGCACCGGCUAACUCCGUGCCAGCAGCCGCGGUAAUACGGAGGGUGCGAGCGUUAAUCGGAAUUACUGGGCGUAAAGCGCAUGCAGGCGGCCUGUUAAGUCAGAUGUGAAAGCCCCGGGGCUUAACCUCGGAAUUGCAUUUGAAACUGGCAGGCUAGAGUCUUGUAGAGGGGGUAGAAUUUCAGGUGUAGCGGUGAAAUGCGUAGAGAUCUGAAGGAAUACCAGUGGCGAAGGCGGCCCCCUGGACAAAGACUGACGCUCAGAUCGCGUAAAGCGUGGGGAGCAAACCAGGAUUAGAUACCCCUCGGUAG
Molecule: ribosomal RNA, 454 nt
Filed under: uncultured bacterium
Lineage: Bacteria
Description: bacterial SSU rRNA
Rfam family: Bacterial small subunit ribosomal RNA
Source: RNAcentral